Molecule: ribosomal RNA, 1480 nt
Filed under: Weissella confusa
Lineage: Bacteria; Bacillati; Bacillota; Bacilli; Lactobacillales; Lactobacillaceae
Description: bacterial SSU rRNA
Rfam family: Bacterial small subunit ribosomal RNA
Source: RNAcentral
CGGGGGGGGUGCUAUACAUGCAAGUCGAACGCUUUGUGGUUCAACUGAUUUGAAGAGCUUGCUCAGAUAUGACGAUGGACAUUGCAAAGAGUGGCGAACGGGUGAGUAACACGUGGGAAACCUACCUCUUAGCAGGGGAUAACAUUUGGAAACAGAUGCUAAUACCGUAUAACAAUGACAACCGCAUGGUUGUUAUUUAAAAGAUGGUUCUGCUAUCACUAAGAGAUGGUCCCGCGGUGCAUUAGCUAGUUGGUAAGGUAAUGGCUUACCAAGGCGAUGAUGCAUAGCCGAGUUGAGAGACUGAUCGGCCACAAUGGGACUGAGACACGGCCCAUACUCCUACGGGAGGCAGCAGUAGGGAAUCUUCCACAAUGGGCGAAAGCCUGAUGGAGCAACGCCGCGUGUGUGAUGAAGGGUUUCGGCUCGUAAAACACUGUUGUAAGAGAAGAAUGACAUUGAGAGUAACUGUUCAAUGUGUGACGGUAUCUUACCAGAAAGGAACGGCUAAAUACGUGCCAGCAGCCGCGGUAAUACGUAUGUUCCAAGCGUUAUCCGGAUUUAUUGGGCGUAAAGCGAGCGCAGACGGUUAUUUAAGUCUGAAGUGAAAGCCCUCAGCUCAACUGAGGAAUUGCUUUGGAAACUGGAUGACUUGAGUGCAGUAGAGGAAAGUGGAACUCCAUGUGUAGCGGUGAAAUGCGUAGAUAUAUGGAAGAACACCAGUGGCGAAGGCGGCUUUCUGGACUGUAACUGACGUUGAGGCUCGAAAGUGUGGGUAGCAAACAGGAUUAGAUACCCUGGUAGUCCACACCGUAAACGAUGAGUGCUAGGUGUUUGAGGGUUUCCGCCCUUAAGUGCCGCAGCUAACGCAUUAAGCACUCCGCCUGGGGAGUACGACCGCAAGGUUGAAACUCAAAGGAAUUGACGGGGACCCGCACAAGCGGUGGAGCAUGUGGUUUAAUUCGAAGCAACGCGAAGAACCUUACCAGGUCUUGACAUCCCUUGACAACUCCAGAGAUGGAGCGUUCCCUUCGGGGACAAGGUGACAGGUGGUGCAUGGUUGUCGUCAGCUCGUGUCGUGAGAUGUUGGGUUAAGUCCCGCAACGAGCGCAACCCUUAUUACUAGUUGCCAGCAUUCAGUUGGGCACUCUAGUGAGACUGCCGGUGACAAACCGGAGGAAGGUGGGGAUGACGUCAAAUCAUCAUGCCCCUUAUGACCUGGGCUACACACGUGCUACAAUGGCGUAUACAACGAGUUGCCAACCCGCGAGGGUGAGCUAAUCUCUUAAAGUACGUCUCAGUUCGGAUUGUAGGCUGCAACUCGCCUACAUGAAGUCGGAAUCGCUAGUAAUCGCGGAUCAGCACGCCGCGGUGAAUACGUUCCCGGGUCUUGUACACACCGCCCGUCACACCAUGAGAGUUUGUAACACCCAAAGCCGGUGGGGUAACCUUCGGGAGCCAGCCGUCUAAGGUGACAAAAUUU